UGCUGAGGUGAGAGCAUUGUGGGACCUUGGGGCCACCAGGUGACCCCUGCCAGCAUCUACUGCCCAAAGCUAAGCACGGUCGGGCAUGACCAGUACUCGGAUGGGGAGACCACCUGGGGAUACCGGGUGCUGUAGGUA
Molecule: ribosomal RNA, 138 nt
Organism: Cercocebus atys (sooty mangabey)
Lineage: Eukaryota; Metazoa; Chordata; Mammalia; Primates; Cercopithecidae
Source: Ensembl